This is a long non-coding RNA of Felis catus (domestic cat), 2196 nucleotides long. RefSeq lists it as uncharacterized. The record is from RefSeq and is a predicted model, not a curated record. The transcript has 2 exons. Lineage: Eukaryota; Metazoa; Chordata; Mammalia; Carnivora; Felidae.
CAGUACUAGAGGCUCAUCUCAACACAAUAGCUCAAGUGAAUUUUGGAACCAUAGGGCCCCUUUAUGGAACAACAAAGGGGCUGAAUUAAUGAAUUUACCAAAACACCUUGCUAUAAGACAGACUCACAGGCACACAUCACAAACUGUGGCUGUUGAUGACAUUAAGUAAGAGAGUCAGUGUAGGGGGUCAUGUGCUUGAAAUGCUGAGGGAGCAUGAUGACUCUUGUUGGGUGCAGCAGAUUUUAAACUUGGUGAAUUUAAGUUAAUCUUACUUUCCUUUUUUCUAGCUGUGUAGGGUCUGAAAUCCUACAGUGAAUUCUGAAGAUAUCUUAAGAGCUUGCUUAGUGAUUAAUGCCUAAAUUUUGAGUAUUUUAAAUAAUGAGGUUGUUUUGAAAAUAGGAAUCUUUCUAAGAGAAUGGCUUGUGACUGGAUGCUGUCUGUCUAUCUAUCUAUUCAUUCUGCUCAUGAAUAUUUGUUGAGCAGCUAUGAUAGGCCAGGUUAAGGUUAAUCUUCACUGUGGGGCUAGAGAAGGAACAAGAAAAAUCUAUGUCCUCACGGGAGUUUACAUUCUGGUGGGUGUAGAAAAUAUGAGGUGUACAAAUAAAUGUAGACAGAGAGUGACCAUGUCAUAAAGAAAAUAAAGGAGGUGGGCAAAACAGGGCAUGAGCUUGGGUGGCAGGGAGGGCCCCUCUGUGAGGUCACCAUGGAAUGAUAGGACAAAGCCAGUCAGUUAACAACUAGGAGAAAAGCAUCCAGAUAAAUCUUUCUUUUUCUCCAAGCUCCCCCUCAACCCAGGCCCUGGUCUGAGAGUAUCUCAAAGGAAACCAAGUCUUGGAGAAUGAAGCCCCUGUCCCACCCCCUCUCUCCCCACCUUUAUUGUCUAGGUAUUCAGAGCCAGGAUAGACGGAUACAGGAGACUGGGAUGGGAAAGGAUCUACAGGGCCUCUUCUUUUCUGACUGUGGCACCAGGGACACAGGCCAGCCAUGUUGUGUGCGGCUGUGACCAGAUGGACGACACUGAUAAGAGACUUGAGCACAGUUAUAGGGGCGGUGAUCCAGAGGCCCACUUGGAAAAACCCACAGAGCCAACUCAAGGUCCCUCAGAGAAAUUGAACAGGUGGAGGGAGCAGUAGAAGAGCUCAUUUCCAGCACAAAGGAUAAACAGAUCAGGCUUGAGGCUUGAUUAAGGGUUCGAGAAGCGUGUCUGUGGAAAUCAUCCAGAAGUCCGCUGAGUGAGUAGAAGGAGGAGGUCGUGAGGGGACAGCAGGGCAUUAAGUAGAAAGAAACGAUGGCUAAGGCAAUCCUGCAUAGCCUUGGGAUGGACAGGGCAGACAGGGUGGAAUCAGGAAGGCUGCCCAAGGCACCUUGCCCUCCCGUUUGAUCUGGAGCCACCGGCAGCACUCACGGAUGAAGUUAGGCACAAACAGGAAGAUAUUUUCACCUGGUGUCGUGGCAGCCCCCUUGCCGCCCCUGGGCCCCAUCUGGAGGUGGCAUCCGAGUCCCGGCCCCGCUGCGCCCUCACCCUCCAGCCCGGUGCCUCAGGCCAAGCCAACAAACAGUGCACAGGCCUCCAUUGCCCCUGCCCUGGCUGCUAUUUAUUUUUUAAGAAGUUGUCUGAAAACCUCUCUAGAGCAAGUCAGGAUACACACACACACACACACACACACACACACACACACACACACACACACAAGGAAAGUCCUAUGCUCUUCUUUCUACCUACCCAUUCAACCUAAUUAUUGCAGUGGUUGGUUUAAAAACAAUUAUUGGCAUUAUUUUUUUAGGAAGUUUUAGGUUUACAGCAGAAUUGAAGAUGACAGUGGUUUUAUUUGGUUUCAGAACAGGUUCUUCCCAGACUCUCAUCAAGAUAACUUUUUGCAACCAAAGGUGUACCUUCCUAGGAAGACUUACAAUCCAAAAGCUGUCCCCUGGCUCCUGCCCAGUAGUUCUCAAACUUUAGCAUGCAUCAAAACCACCCAGACAGCUUGUUAAAAUACAGAUUGCUGAGCCCCACCUUUCGAAUUUGAGUCAGUAGGUCUGGGUUGGGGUCUAAGAUUUUGCAUUUCUAACAGUUCCCGGUGAUGCUGAUGCCGCUGUUUCGCAGACCACACUUUGAGAACCACUGCUCCAUAUAAAUCACUUGCUGGCUGACUUAGCAAGUAAAAGUACACAAAACAAAAAUGAGAUUUAACAGUG